RNAcentral lists this non-coding RNA (183 nucleotides) under Paenalicyclobacillus macrosporangiidus. RNAcentral's name for it is "Alicyclobacillus macrosporangiidus GlcN6P sequence". It matches the Rfam family "glmS glucosamine-6-phosphate activated ribozyme aptamer". From Rfam's summary of the family: This entry contains a glucosamine-6-phosphate activated ribozyme that is found in the mRNA for GlmS. GlmS is an enzyme that uses fructose-6-phosphate and glutamine to generate glucosamine-6-phosphate. The record is from Rfam by way of RNAcentral. Lineage: Bacteria; Bacillati; Bacillota; Bacilli; Caryophanales; Alicyclobacillaceae.
GGCAUGACACAAGCGCCUGGACUGUGCGGUCCGCGCGCCCCUCAGGGUGCCGCGGAUUGGGAACAGUUGACGCGGAGGAGGUCAGCGAACCAUUCGGCGGGUGCCUCCCGGUGUGCGCCGCACCGCGAGCGAAGCUCGAAAGCCGCCGGGCGACCGGCGGGACAAGGGCGAGCAGGCGAAUGA